GCCGAGGUAGCUCAAUAGGCAGAGCAGCUGAUUUGUAAUCAGCAGGUUGUCAGUUCGACUCUGAUCCUCGGCU
RNAcentral lists this transfer RNA (73 nucleotides) under Thermodesulfobium narugense DSM 14796. It matches the Rfam family "tRNA". From Rfam's summary of the family: Transfer RNA (tRNA) molecules are approximately 80 nucleotides in length. Lineage: Bacteria; Pseudomonadati; Thermodesulfobiota; Thermodesulfobiia; Thermodesulfobiales; Thermodesulfobiaceae. The record is from Rfam by way of RNAcentral. RNAcentral also lists the same sequence under 1 other name.